This 253-nucleotide ribosomal RNA is filed under the name uncultured bacterium. RNAcentral describes it as "partial 16S ribosomal RNA". It matches the Rfam family "Bacterial small subunit ribosomal RNA", at positions 524 to 776 of the family's 1533-position model. The record is from RNAcentral.
UACGGAGGGUGCCAGCGUUAAUCGGAAUUACUGGGCGUAAAGCGCGCGUAGGCGGUCAGGCAAGUCGGAUGUGAAAGCCCUGGGCUUAACCUGGGAAUUGCAUUCGAGACUGCUUGGCUAGAGUUUGGUAGAGGAAAGCGGAAUUCCGGGUGUAGCGGUGAAAUGCGUAGAUAUCCGGAGGAACAUCAGUGGCGAAGGCGGCUUUCUGGACCAAAACUGACGCUGAGGUGCGAAAGCGUGGGGAGCAAACAGG